GUGUUUGAGAAAGUACCCUUAAACACACAGAAAAAUGGGGUUGGACUUCCUUCCUGGUGUUGGAGAGAGGAGCUUGUUCAGCCCAGUCUGAUGUGGUGUGCUGCCUCUUCUUGGUUCAGCCCGAAGAUUCAGACCCAAUCACUUCUUAAGGAAAGACUGGAAACAAUGUUGGAAGCCACCUAUUGGAGAAUGAUUGAGAAAAUUAUAUUUCUUCCUGGUUUCGGAAUCAGUACCAUAUCUGUGUCAUAA
RNAcentral lists this long non-coding RNA (249 nucleotides) under Monodelphis domestica (gray short-tailed opossum). RNAcentral's name for it is "lncRNA (ENSMODG00000043021.1)". The record is from RNAcentral. Lineage: Eukaryota; Metazoa; Chordata; Mammalia; Didelphimorphia; Didelphidae.